RNAcentral lists this ribosomal RNA (417 nucleotides) under Triticum aestivum (bread wheat). Its description in RNAcentral is "partial small subunit ribosomal RNA". The record is from RNAcentral. Lineage: Eukaryota; Viridiplantae; Streptophyta; Magnoliopsida; Poales; Poaceae.
AUGAAUGAGAUGUUGACGCCCUGUAUGCUCCAUGUAUCAUUCUUCCCACAUAAUGGAUGCGAUCUCUUCUGCCGCUACGUCUCCGUUCGACUCGCCAAGUACUGGUCUCCUUCAAGCUACAACCCCAAGGCGAGCUCUGGUGGUCAAGCUGAUGCUUCUUCGCCUCAUGUUGAAGAAAAGGAUGAUAAGGAUGUCCAUGCUCGAGUGACCAGGAAUAAUUGGGGAUCCUCAGAUAACUUCCGAAGCGAGGAGUUAAUCUUCGACAUAGUCCCGUUUCGCAAUGGCUAUCACGCACUGCUUGGACGAACUGCAUUUGCAAAGUUCAAUGCGGUGCCGCACUAUGCAUACCUCAAGCUCAAGAUGCUAGGCCCUCGAGGAGUCAUUACGGUCAAAGGAAACAUCGAACGCUCUCUCUGA